GGUGAACGCUGGCGGCGUGCCUAACACAUGCAAGUCGAUCGGAGCAGCAAUGCUUAGAGGCGAACGGGUGAGGAAAACGUAGUAACCAACCCUUUAGACUGGGAUAGCCACUGGAAACGGUGGGUAAUACCGGAUAAGCUCGAGAGAGGAAAGGCAGAGAGCGCUAAGGACGACCUGCGCCCAUCAGAUAGUUGGUGAGGUAAAGGCUUACCAAGUCAAAGACGGGAAACCGACGUGAGAGCGUGUACGGUCACAAGGGCACUGAGAGACGGGCCCUACUCCUACGGGAGGCAGCAGUGGGGAAUAUUGGACAAUGGACGAAAGUCUGAUCCAGCGACGCCGCGUGGAGGAAGAAGUCCUUCGGGAUGUAAACUCAUGAAGCUAACGAAUAAGACGGAAGGGGAACCUUCCGGGAGAAGGUAAUUAGUGAAAAGCCCCGGCUAACUACGUG
Molecule: ribosomal RNA, 451 nt
Filed under: uncultured bacterium
Lineage: Bacteria
Description: bacterial SSU rRNA
Rfam family: Bacterial small subunit ribosomal RNA
Source: RNAcentral